Pelobates cultripes (western spadefoot toad) is the source of this 5172-nucleotide non-coding RNA. NCBI's taxonomy places the organism in Eukaryota, Metazoa, Chordata, Amphibia, Anura, Pelobatidae. The record is from the annotation of a GenBank genome assembly.
UGGCAUAAUUUUUUUUUCCAGGGCUGCUUUUUUUCCCAGGGAUUCACAAUUUGGCUCUGCCAGUGAGUGCACUUUACUGCUGAAUCAUCUGUGUGAGCUGCCGCACACUUUAGCCCUGUUACACGCGUCUGGGAGCUGCUGUUGACAGGUACUAAUAGUCUAGAGAUUGGGACAUGGGGUAUAUGCUCAGCUAUCUGUAUAAUACUAUAGUGCUGUUCUCUGUAUAAUACAGAUCUCUGUGUGUAUAAUAUCCAGGGAUAGUCAGUGCUUCCUGUAUAGUGCUGCUCUUUGUAUAAUACAGGUCUGUGUCUGUAUAAUAUCCUGGAACAGUCAGUGUUCCCUGUAUAGCGCUGCUCUCUGUCUUGGGAUAUUAUACACAGACCUGUAUUAUACAGAGAGCAGUACUAUACAGGGAGCACUGACUCUCCUAGGAUAUUAUACACACAGCUAUGUAUUAUACAGAGAGCAGCACUGUACAGGGAAUGCUGACUGUCCCAAUUUAUUAUACACACAACCCUGUAUUAUACAGAGAGCACUGACUGUCCAGGGAUAUUAUACAGACACAGACCUGUAUUAUACAAAGAGCAGCACUAUACAGGAAGCACUGACUAUCCCUGGAUAUUAUACACACAGAGAUCUGUAUUAUACAGAGAACAGCACUAUAGUAUUAUACAGAUAGCUGAGCAUAUACCCCAUGUCCCAAUCUCUAGACUAUUAGUAUCCUAGAUACGCCACUGAUAGGGAGAGGUAUUAGCAGUAGAAAGUGGGAAGUGCUCAUGCCAUUGUACAGAACACUGGUGAGACCUCACUUGGAGUAUUGUACGCAGGAUAUUGAUACUUUGGAGCGAGUUCAGAGAAGGGCUACUAAACUGGUUCAUGGAUUGCAGGAUAAAACUUACAAGGAAAGGUUAAAGGAUCUUAACAUGCAUAGCUUGGAGGAAAGAAGAGACAUGGGGGAUAUGAUAGAAACAUUUAAAUACAUAAAGGGAUUCAACACAGUAAAGGAGGAUACUAUAUUUAAAAGAAGAAAAACUACCACAACAAGAGGACAUAGUCUUAAAUUAGAGGGGCAAAGGUUUAAAAAGAAUAUCAGGAAUUAUUACUUUACUGAGAGGGUAGUCGAUACAUGGAAUAGCCUUCCAGCUGAAGUGGUAGAGGUUAACAGAGAAGGAGUAUAAGCAUGCGUGGGAUAAGCAUAGGGCUAUCCUAGAUAUAAGAGACUCAUUUAGAAAAUUGGGCAGACCAGAUGGGCUGAAUGGUUCUUAUCUGCCGUCACAUUCUAUGUUUCUAUGUUAAGGCUGCCUUUCAGAGAUAAGGCAGUGUUUACAUUACUGCCUAGUAACACCUCUAGUGGCAGUCAGUCAGACGGCAACAGAGGUGCCUUCUAGUCCAGUGCUGCACAAUGAGAUUCAGCGUUUCUGAGGAGAUGCUGAUUGGCGCCAUAUUUUGCCACACAUGCGCAUUAGCCUCCCAAUGCUUUCCUCUGGGAAAGCAUUAGAUUGGCAGAGAUCAUCAAUAUUUUAAUACAUUUGUAUUCCUGACACUAUAGUGUUUCUUUAAGUUAGCAGGACAUUCCAUGCUGGUAUAUGAAUAUUAAGGACUAGACUGGGAUGACUUUAAUUGAUGCCACUUGGCCUAGAGAGGUUAAAGUUGUAUUUAUAAUAAAUGGUGUUCACCAACCCUAACACUGGCCAUAAAGGCUGCAGCUGGAGUUUACCCAUUGCACACAGCGCUCUAACACAUGUGCUGCUGUUUAUUUUAAACAGCAAAGUGAAAGCUUGGGAAUGGAAACAAGGACAGCACCUGUGAGCUAAGAACUCAUUGGAACACUUGUUUACAGUGUGAUUGCCAGUCUGCCCUUACUGCAAGGGCAAGCUCCAUUCAUACAAGUGUGAAUUUGGCACCAUGCACUUCGCUGUCCUGUGAAUUACUAAGGCAGAAUAACCCCAUUGUUGAGAAAAACGUGGGUGUGCUUCCAGACUGGCCAACUCAUUUGUAGUCUUCAUGAUUAUUUACAUCCAAGCAAGUUACUUGGCUGUUCAUGGGAGAAGGGAGGAGAGAUUCUCAUAAUCAGCAAUUUUCCACAUCGUUCUACGGUCUAAUUUAUUACAUACCAGUGGAGAAAUGUUCUAAAUCUCCCAAGCAUACAUAUUCAAAGCAGAGAAACAGCUUUUCCCCUGUAUAAUUCUAAUAACAUACCUUAUAAAAAGGCUAAAGACAGGAACAAUGGAGGUCGUGUAUAAAGAGUAAUUCUAUGGAAACAUUCUAAAAGUGGAACAAUCACCAUGGAAACCAAUGGAAUGUUCGAGUAAUUGUUCCACUUCUAGAACCUUGCCCCAGAAUUGCAUUUUUAUACAAACCUCCCAUUGACUGUAAGGUUACAUAAAGUUACAAAAUUAGGUUGGAAAAACCCACAAACGUGUCAAUUUCAUUGUAAUUAUAACUGAUGGUACAAAAACAAAGACGAGAAAGUGACACAAACACUAAUAGCGUUAAAGACCACAUUUGCAAGCUCAUUUCAAAUGAAACAACGUAGCUAUAGCUGCUGAUUUUAUUUUUUAUUCUUUAGGUGAAAAAGCUAAUUGUGUUUAUUUAUUUAUCACAUAUAAAUGUGUCCCACUUUCUUUAACCCCUUAAGGACAGGGGCAAUUGGGGUUCAACUUCUAAAUCGAAAACAAAACCUAGAAUUUGUGCUAUGUGUUUGUUCUGCUGCAAUUUAAAGGUUUCUCUUUAAUUUAACCCAUACAUAUUAUAUAUUGUUUUUUAAUAUGCAGAUAUUGCUUUCUUCUAAAAUACUAUAUGUACACAUAGUAUAGGAUAGCAUAACUUUGAGGAGCUGUUUAAGCAGUAAGUAUUGCAAGUUAAAUGAUUUUCUCCCACGUUAAAAUUAGUGUAUGAACCACCGAUAUUGGGGUACUGUAGUAGUGGUGGGUUUAACACAAUAUGGCCAUAUUGUGUAAUUGUAUUCCCAUAUCUGUAUGCUAAGAGAGGUGAUUUUAAGUAGCCUUGAUUUAAAACUGUGUAUUUUUUGUGUAUGCUAUUCCAUAAUCUGUAUUUUGUAUAAAUUCUGGUCUACACAGCAGCACCACUACUGAGAAAUGCAAGUUCUGGGUGUGCCCCCUAGUACCUUUUUUUUCCUCCAUAUAUUUUUUAAUGUCAAUCUUCAAAAAAUAUAUCCCAUCAUCAGUCUUUCUCUCUUUAAUUUCAUUUGUUUUCAAUUUGUGAACCUGGUUGGCUGCUUUGAUAGGAGACUGUAUCAGUUGAGGCAAAACAUCUGUCUUUCAAAUUUCUGCAGAUUUCACAAUAUCUAUGUGCAAUGCAUGACGGGAGAGAUAUGUUUGUUAUUUCUUUGGAAAAAUGCCUUUUUUAGUCUUUAGCUACUGCAUCUCAAUUAUAACAUUCCUUGGGUUGAACAUCACUUGAAGCAAAUAAAAAAUUCUAAAGUUCAAUUCCAGGUUAAUAAAAAAAAAAAAAAGUUAAUAUUAAUAUUUUCAAAUAAAAUCUGUUUUUGGUUUUUUUAGGGGGUGGGGGGGUUUACGGAGUUGCAGAAGUACACCUUCAAUGGCAACGGCUAAUAAAUUAAAUAAAUUUACAGAAACUUGAGAACAUAACUUUGAAGUAGCUAAAUCACCCUUCUAAAUGCAAUGGUGAGUCAUUUUAGGUUAAUUGCCAAUUAGUAGUUUGAAUAUACUGGAGUUCUGACAAUUAGCACAUCUCAAGUUUUCAGCAGAACUUGAAGCAAUCAGUGGCCAAAUAGUCUUCCGCCAAACUGCUGAUAGAUCAGUUACAAAAACUGGCAAAGCUACUGGAGGUUUCAAGGGGCACGAUCUCGAACGAAUAUCAACCUAAGCCAUAGAUGGACAUCCUUUAGGAAAAGAGGAUUAGGGAUUGCAAGUCGAAAGUACAACACAAACUACAUCAACAUUCUUCUCGCUCUCAACUACAAUAUACAAAGUUUAUUGCCAACUGUUAAACAUGCCUGGUUAACUGCAAUUUAAUGUGCGGGCAGCUUAUGGGAGGCAAUCAUAGAAAUGAUCUAUGUAAUGCCCAGACCUAAACAAAGAUCCUUAAAGGGAAAAGUCACAUCCCUGGAUUUUCAAUACUACGUUUAAUAACCCCCGAUAUUUAAAUGGUUACUGUAACCCUUAGUACAUUUUUUUUAAACAAAUAAUUAUUCUUUAGGUCUCUCCCCCCUUCUCCCUCCCAAAUGCUAAAAUAAACUAGCAAAAUAGGAUUAACUCACCUGAAAUCCGUUAGGAGCAUUGGAUCUUUAUUUUUCAACAUCUUAGAACUUUGACACUGGCUGAAAGCAUCGUAUCAGUAGCAAGGGUAAACACAAUUUAUUAAUCUGUUUAAUAAUCUGCAAUAGUGAAUAUGCAACAAAGUACUGGGAUGGAUUUUUUCAAGUGCCCUAGGGGGACAUAUCUUAUCAAAAAAAAAAAUGGAAUCAAUAAUACAAAAACAAGUAUAUAGAUAAUAAUUCAGGGCAGUUAAUAUGUAUAAAAUACAAUAUUUCAAUGUGUUCAUGAUAUUAACAAUACUAUAUUUUGUGUUUUAGAAGUCUUUAUGUUUAAUAAUCAUAAAUUACAGUCACAGCACGUCUUUUAAUGGUUAAUAUAUUUAUUUUAUUCAGUUUAUUUUUGCUUGUAUGCAUAAAAGACAUAUACUAUCUGUACAUUAGGUACAUUUAGCAUGCAAUAUAUUAUUAGAUACUAGAUGGACAGACAGAUGAAAAGAGUAAAAUAUGCACAUACGCGGAAAUAUAUUUAAUGUUAAUUCCACUGACAAACAGUUUAUUUAAGCUAUGACAUUAAAAAGUAGUUAGUAAUCUCAUGAUAAAGAAAAUCAAUGUUAAAACAAGGUGUUACAAUCAUGGCAGUGUUAUUUGAUAAGUUUAAAGACAUCAGAUGAUGUGAUAUAAAUGUCCAUGGGCUACUAUAGAAAUUCUGUGAAUGUUAACACCACAUUUUCUCCAUAUAGAUAAAAAGAAUGUUCUCUCUGCAUCAAGAAAAAGCUUGCUUGGACCAGCUACAUCCAGAGCUAAGCUGCUUGAACAGUAAUCCUCGGCUUCCCAGUGGCAUUCUUUGACUCUGCUGACGCCAAUUGAAGAUAUUGAGAAUAUGUUUGUAUAUGUGGGUUAAAUAACUUCAAGUACCCAGAGCAGCAAAAAAU